Gadus macrocephalus (Pacific cod) is the source of this 963-nucleotide long non-coding RNA. RefSeq lists it as uncharacterized. The transcript is spliced from 2 exons. NCBI's taxonomy places the organism in Eukaryota, Metazoa, Chordata, Actinopteri, Gadiformes, Gadidae. The record is from RefSeq and is a predicted model, not a curated record.
CAUCUUCGUUCGUGCUUUUCUUAAGAAUGUGUAUAUAGAGAUAAAAAUAAAAUGAAAAUAAAAAUAAGUAAAAAUAUAAAAUGAAAACAAAUGGUGGAUUCAUAUACCAUGUGUGAAUGUCCUCUUGUGUGUGUCAGAGCCACCAAAAUAAUGGAGGUUACUCGACUGUUACAUACACGAGGGGAUAUUGAAAGCAUACCACAUAUAAAACUAAGAUAAUUAGAAAAUGGUUCAUUAUAAUUAACUUUUUGCUUCACCCAAUAACUUCUGAAUUUUUCUUUUAGGUUCAGUUUUUGUUUUGUUUUAGAAUAUCAGCCUAUAUUUAAUACCCAGAUGUGCAUAAUUUGUAGGACAAUCGGGUAGUAUAAUGAAGGUAACUGUUGGAACCAGAUACAGUUACAAAGAAGUGAUAUUGAACAUACAAAUUUUAACAUUGUAAUUUCCCUUUUUACAUCUUUUUGGGUUUAUAAGAUAAGAAAUGGAUUAGCAAUACAUCUGCUCGCCAGGGACAAUAUAGGCUCAAUUUAGAUUCAGAAGUAGUGGGUUAACCUUUCAAAUGCCACUGCUACUGCUGUAACGCUUUGUUACAACGUCAGCGUCUCAUAGUCUGAUAUUUAUUUUUACUCUGAUAAGUUACGGCACACAGGUAUACUGACUCAUGAAACAUUUACGGUUUACUGCAUUUAACAACAGCGUGGUCUCAAGACGGCUGCAUAGACCCACAACUAUCGACCUUUGGUUUUGUAUGUAGUGGUCUUCUUUUAUCUUCAUAAUGGAUUGGUUAAUGUACAGAUGAUUAAGGAAAGGAACUUCAACUUGGUUGCACUACACCGUUGUUAGGAUUGGUUAAUUUUAAUGCGCAUGGCUGAAGCAAUGUGCAAGGAGGGAUGUAGUGUGAAUAUUAAAUCAAGGUUGAAGGUUGAAAUCAGCUCAGAAUAAGGAAUGGGACACUCAAAACAAAAA